RNAcentral lists this transfer RNA (38 nucleotides) under Leposoma scincoides. Its description in RNAcentral is "partial tRNA-Ser". The record is from RNAcentral. Lineage: Eukaryota; Metazoa; Chordata; Lepidosauria; Squamata; Gymnophthalmidae.
AGGACUGAAUCGCGUGUUGCUAACACGCCACCACCAGG